CUCCCGCACUCUCCUCCCCCUCCUGCCUCUUCCCUUCCCCGCCUACUCCUCCUGUCGCCGCUGCCGCCUCCGCUCCUGCUGUCGCCACAUCGCCGCCCCAAACCCCUGCCGCAUCGGAGAGAAAUCCAUGGCGGUGGACAAGCCCGGCGGCGGCGGGGCCUCCUCCUCCUCGCCCGCGUCCACCACGGACCGACCGCGUCAGCAAGAGGAGAGGAGGAGCAGCCGCAGCGCGUCCUCAGUCCGGCCUCGAUAAGAGAAGGGGAGCAGCAGCCACGCUAGCUGGCUCGCACCUCGUCGCCACCUCUCCUCACCUUCUCCCAGGUUCCUGAUCUGGAGCGGGAGGGAGGCCAGGCUACCCUUGACACGCAUAUGUGGAAUGUUCUCAUUAUCAACUCUGGAAUAACUAGCAAGUAGUGGUGUCAAUGGCAUCCGUGGGAGACAUUUUGGUGGCACAUGGACAUCACGUUCUGGAAUAAAGCCAUGGAACAAUAAAUAACUUGGCAACGGAUACCCUGUGGUCUACAAUUAUACUGUAAUUAUGUGUGCACUUUGGAUCUAUUGGAUGUCUAAAUGUAUUGUUAAUCGACAACUACUGAUGCAAAGGUAUGUUCUAUUUGUAAUAUGAAAUGAUUCUUAUUUGUACCUCCAGCAGUCCUUCUCACAUUUUCUAUUUGUAAUAUGAAAUGAUUCUUAUUUGUACCUCCAGCACUCUUCUAUCGCUCCUUUUAGAACUAAUGACAUAAAAAAUGUGGUCUGGAGUCUGGUCGUGUUUGAACAAAGUUGGUCAGAAUGAUAUAGUUGUUUUCUUCAAGUUCAUUAUAUUAAUUUUUUCAGUAUAUAGAUUAUUUAUUUGUUCACACAAUACAUGGCAGGAGAUGUGUGUCGAGAGGCACAUGAAUAUGCACGUGGGCUCUUUUUCAGCAUGGUAGUCUAAAAAACUGUGGUAUUCUCAGAACACGUAGAAAAUGCUUUGCUAUCAAACCGGGCAAGUGCAGAUUUCCUUGAAUAUAGUUUAUUUUACAAUUGUGUUGCCAACGUGCUUCCAUUGUUUUAUCACCAUAAAAUAGUUCUAGGUGCUCAUAUAAAAUUUAGUGGCGUGUAUGGGUGAUUGUAGUGCAGUUUUGUUUAUCUGCUUGCAUUUUCAGCAUUAUAGUGUUGAUAUACUAUCUCAAUAAAACAGUGAAUACGUAUAAUAUGUACAAGCUACAUUCAAGUUAUGGCAGUGUGCCUGGGUAAGAUGAACUGGUAAUCUUCUGCUAGCUGAAAAAAACUUUUUUCGUCUUUACAUGUGUUUCUUGAUGAAGCUCGUGAUUUUCAAGUUAUGGCAGUACAUAUGUCUACCCACUUGCAUGACUACCGAUAUUGUCCUUAUUUUGCUCCUCCUUAGCCUUGUUCUGUUAGUGCAGUUCUUUUAAAUAGCAGGGACAGAGUCCCAGAAAACAUGCCUGAUUGCUUUUCUUAGUGGCGCACUUGCAAGUAUAUGUGGUAGUUCUGUUAGUUUCUCAUGCUUUUCUACAAAGUGAUAGGUUAAUAAUGUCAUCAACAAUUUUUUCCUUAACUGAUCAAUAUCUUAGAAGUUGUCACUCAUUAGUUUUCUUUUCCUUAUCUGAUCUCUAGCGAGUAGAGUGAUUUAUUUUCGCAAUACCUAAUUCUGAUCAUAGGUAAUGACAGAUUUGUUUUCAUUAAAUGAGAUUCUUGUUUUGUGUUGAUUUUACAAAAUUUCUGUAGCUACAUAUUUGCUCAAUCCAAUAGACAGAUUUUAAUCAACCUUUAUUAUAAUGUAUUUCCAAUUGUUCAUAACUACAUAAAUUUUUGUUGUGAUUUUGCAAGAUUUCGAAAUUAUUGUGUUUCAAAAUUGUUAUACUGAUUCCUCAAUGCUCUGUUCAUGGCUUUGUUCUUAUUUUAUCCAAAAGACAGAUUUUACUCAACCUUCAGUAUAAUAUUUGCUUUGUUCUUAUACUGAUUCCUCGAUGCUCUGUUCAUGGCUUUGUUCUUAUUUCUGAAGCUAUAUAUUUGCUCUAUCCAAAAGACAGAUUUUACUUAAUCUUUUGCCUUUUAGAAAAAGGGAGAUGCCAUUUAGAGCUUACUCUGUCCAACUUGAUCUUCAACUUGCCGCUACUGUUCCUAAGCAUUUUCCUGAAAACUGUUGUAUUUGCUUUAGAGAAUGAGCUCACCUUACUCAGAAGAUAUGCCAAGUAAAAAAUUAGAAAUUGAACAAUUAGUUCCGCUCUUAAAUUUUGCACAACAGUCCAAAUUAUCCAAUAAAUCAUGUGUUAGCAGGGUCAAAUUAUAGAAGUUGAAUCACUUGUUCUAAAUUACCCAAUCCAAAUUAUGGAUGUUAAUAAUAUGAUUUGUGUUAGACUGUUAGUCAAAUUGUCGAAAGCCGGAGCUGGGUUGAGGAGCCGGCCUCCGCCUUUGACCAUUACGUGAGAAGCAACACCGGCGUUGGCCGUUCCGUGUGCAGAGUGUGUGAGUUAGUGAUUUAAUUCCAUCCUUUCCAUCUCAUGAUGUGAUUUUUCCUUUAGGAUGAAUUAGUAACUUUGUGUGGAGGUGGCAGCACUACCUGCUGGUUGGUGUAAUGCCGUGCUUGACAGGGUGAUUUGCAAUUCCGAGUUUGUUUAAUGGCUUAAUGUCUAAGCACUCAUCCCCUUAUUCUGUUGUGUUGUUACCAACUUGGUUUGCAAGGAACAGACCUUCAUCUGUGUACAUCAAGAUUGCUAAUUGCCAGCUGAAGGGUGAUAGUAAAGCAUGAAGAUGCCUAAGCUUAUGAGGAAGCUGCAAACUGCGACCAAAAAUUCUCACUUCAGGGUACUCUCUCUCUCUCUCGAUCUCAAAGAGGAAACGAGGCAGCCACGGCCUCCUUGCCCCCCCCCUUCUCUCCCGUGCCUCCGUGCUGCUGCAGUACUCCCGCGCUGCACACCGCUGCUGCUCCCCAACCACGGCGCUAUGAUGGUGCUUGCUCGCCUGGUCGCCGCCUCGUCUCGCCCAAUCUUGAUAUAGUCCGGGGCGGCGCCGGCACCGCUCGACCGCGUCGUUGCCUCCUCUGCGUCAUGAGAAGCGCCACCAUUGCCUCCACCCCCACUGGGCAAGGAGCUCGAGGUGUUUGGGGGUUCGUGUUUCCUACACAGGCCAAAACACUAUUGGAGCCUUGGAGUUUGAAACCAGUCGUUUGGAGCAGAUCAGCUCAAAAGAGAUCCUUUGUACCAUUUGCAGACUACCCAUCUCCCUCUGGCCUGGAGUCUCGCUCGCCUCUGUUUUCCCCCUGUGGACACACAUGAGACUCAGAUCUUGGCUCGUCGUAGAGGAAUCGAUAGCAAGAAUCAACCAGAGAAAGGAUGUAUACAAGAGCUCGAGGCAGAGAUGGCGGAGCUCGGGCGAGCUCGAGACUAUGGAUCCAGGGCUUGAGUGCUCACGGGAUGGAGGUGCUCAGGAUGGAGGCAGGGGAGGGCGCCCUGCGGGAAGUGAUUUAUGUACUCCUUGAUCAGUUUUUUUUAUAACUGAUGGCAUCUUACAUUGUUGUCUUUUACCGAUUAACUGGUUAACUCUUUUCCUAAAUGGUCUUAGAUUUCUGCUUUCUAUUUGCGCCAGUUUCUUUUUACAAGAGAUGAGAUCUUACACAAUAUAUUUUUGCCUUGGUUGAUCUAAUUAAAAUUUUCCUUCAGCACGUGCAUAUGAUGUUAAUAUAAAGCUAUUUGGAAGUACAUAUCCAUGGGCGAAAAAAUAUUAUCAUGUAUUUUGUCUGUCAUUUUGCUUGUGUUGAUGUAGUUUAUUGAGCUUUUUCACAUGUCAUGAUAUUAUGCCUUAAUUUCUACUAGGCUGCUUUUACAUUUAAAAUUAAUUGUACAAACAUUAUUUACCUAAUUUAUGGAAACAAUAAAUUUGUAGCUCAGGUCACCUAGGAGAUAAUGUAAACCAAGUCGCUCACCGGUUUAAGAUGGUGUUUAAAGAUUUACUUUGUUCCAGCGACUACUUUGGAUCAUAGGAAACUAAAAAAAAGAGGGCGCCGCCACCACCAUCAUCAGGCUGGCCCACAUCCACGCGCUGCUCGGCGUCACCAAGUCACCGGCACAACUCCUCACGCCCAGGUCGUUCAACAUUUUCUUCCGCUUUUGGUGCGUCACAUUUAGAGUCUUUCUUUCCCAUUUUACCGUGUUUGCAUGGUAAGAUAUUUGGUCGGAUUUGAAGGUUCGUAGCCUUGGCUCCAAAGCUUCAAGCUCUUAUAGAAAUUAGAACUGGGCCUUUUAAAAUAAGUCCUGCAUAAUAGUGUUGUUCAGUGGGAUGUAGAAUUUUUUUUGUCUGAUCGGCUAUCCUUGGUGCUGAUUUAAGUACCGAUUUCAUUAUCAUAUGACUACAAUAAAGGCUGUGUGUAUAAAUA
This is a long non-coding RNA of Triticum aestivum (bread wheat), 4375 nucleotides long. RefSeq lists it as uncharacterized. NCBI's taxonomy places the organism in Eukaryota, Viridiplantae, Streptophyta, Magnoliopsida, Poales, Poaceae. The transcript is spliced from 9 exons. The record is from RefSeq and is a predicted model, not a curated record.